Molecule: ribosomal RNA, 749 nt
Filed under: Knoellia subterranea
Lineage: Bacteria; Bacillati; Actinomycetota; Actinomycetes; Micrococcales; Intrasporangiaceae
Description: bacterial SSU rRNA
Rfam family: Bacterial small subunit ribosomal RNA
Source: RNAcentral
UGGAGCUUGCUUCGAGGGGAUCAGUGGCGAACGGGUGAGUAACACGUGAGUAACCUGCCCCGGACUCUGGAAUAAGCGCUGGAAACGGCGUCUAAUACCGGAUACGAGACGCAACCGCAUGGUUAGUGUCUGGAAAGUUUUUCGGUCUGGGAUGGACUCGCGGCCUAUCAGCUUGUUGGUGAGGUAAUGGCUCACCAAGGCGACGACGGGUAGCCGGCCUGAGAGGGCGACCGGCCACACUGGGACUGAGACACGGCCCAGACUCCUACGGGAGGCAGCAGUGGGGAAUAUUGCACAAUGGGCGAAAGCCUGAUGCAGCGACGCCGCGUGAGGGAUGACGGCCUUCGGGUUGUAAACCUCUUUCAGCAGGGAAGAAGCGAAAGUGACGGUACCUGCAGAAGAAGCACCGGCUAACUACGUGCCAGCAGCCGCGGUAAUACGUAGGGUGCGAGCGUUGUCCGGAAUUAUUGGGCGUAAAGAGCUUGUAGGCGGUUUGUCGCGUCUGCUGUGAAAAUCCGGGGCUCAACCCCGGACUUGCAGUGGGUACGGGCAGACUAGAGUGUGGUAGGGGAGACUGGAAUUCCUGGUGUAGCGGUGAAAUGCGCAGAUAUCAGGAGGAACACCGAUGGCGAAGGCAGGUCUCUGGGCCACUACUGACGCUGAGAAGCGAAAGCAUGGGGAGCGAACAGGAUUAGAUACCCUGGUAGUCCAUGCCGUAAACGUUGGGCGCUAGGUGUGGGACUCAUUCC